AAAAGGCGACCGCCUAUGAUGAAAGGCGAAGACACCAAAGAGAGUUGGUGUAGGUGGAGCUGUCAAGCAGAAAGGCACAGAAGCUCCAAACAUAGAAAUCGAGGUGGAGGAUUGCGAGGAGUAUACCGCAAGUUUCUCUUUCUAUGUAAUCAGUGGCAAUUAUCUCUCCCAUAGUGCACAUGGUGGUAGAGAACUUUUUUGGAGCCACUUUGAAGCAUCUCAGCUGAAAGAGGAUGCGACCGCCUAUGAAAGGCGAAGACACCUUAGAGAAGGUGUGAGGGCCAUGAUAGGAGCCCCAGUUCAGACCGCCCCAUGACAACAGGCGAAGACACCUUAAAGAAGGUGUAUGGGCCACGAUAGGAGCCCAAGUUCAGAACAAUCCCAGAGCCAAUGUAAUAGCUAGAUAUGAGUGGACAGGUGUAUGGAUAGCCAAUGAAGUGGCUAUGAUGAGUAUGAAGACAAAUGCAGGAUUGACUUUCAUGGAUAUUGCCCCCAUGCUAAAGAUCAAUGAGCUAGAAGACAUUUGCCUUGGACAAUAAGUGUGUGACUUGUGGAGCAUUAAGACGCGGCUGCUAUGAAGGAGCAGAGGGCAUGCGCAGGUUCCGGGAACAAGUUGACUCUUGUCAAGGUGGUGAGCUUGGAGAAGGCAUUGUAAUACUCAGUAUCAAGACAUAUAUGGAUCAACCUUUAAUGGGCUGCCCCCAUGGU
RNAcentral lists this long non-coding RNA (708 nucleotides) under Populus trichocarpa (black cottonwood). RNAcentral's name for it is "long non-coding RNA (PTRI_LNC004562)". The record is from RNAcentral. Lineage: Eukaryota; Viridiplantae; Streptophyta; Magnoliopsida; Malpighiales; Salicaceae.